AGGUGGUGAAAUCAUGGCUCACUGCAGCCUUGACCUCUGGGCUCAAGGAAUCCUUCCUCGUCAGCCUCUCCAGUAGCUAGGACUACAGGUGUGUGCAACCACACCCA
Molecule: long non-coding RNA, 107 nt
Filed under: Pongo abelii (Sumatran orangutan)
Lineage: Eukaryota; Metazoa; Chordata; Mammalia; Primates; Hominidae
Description: lincRNA
Source: RNAcentral